GCGAGUUAUAGAGUGAAUGAAGAGAGGGAGCGGCUUUAGUGAGAACAAAGCAGAGAAUCAGAGAAAUAAAAGGCAAUUUUCUGAUUGUUUUACGGCGGUUACAUUGUAAAGCAAAAAUAUACACAGUUAACUCCGCACACCUCUGCGCAACCCUGUGGGAAGGUGCCAAGUUGCCGGAUUUUUAAUAAAAGCAGCCGAUGUGUGUGCCUCGCUCAAACUGACACACGGAUGGCAGCACACAGCAGAGGACAGUGAGAGAGGAACAGGGGAAACUCACAGCGAUGCAACAAACCCAUUCUCAUCCGUCAAAUACAGCUGUUUUGUAUCUGAGAUACAGAGAACAGAGCUAAAGGAGGACUUGUGCCUCGGUAUUAGACGUCAAUAGUGACAAAGCUGCGGUAUUUGACGACCGGGCCCGGCUGCACACCCACACAUGGGGCCAAAGGGCUUUUGGCUGAAGUCCAGCAGCGUCCCAAGUAAAGCAAAAUAAUAAGAAAAGAGAAAAUACUGGCAGAGGGCAGAUUUCUGCAGAAACAGACACCACUGUUUACUUCUAGUGGGUCAUAAGUGAUGAUUGAGAGGAAUUAUUUUUGUAUCAGUCUAUACAUUGCUUUUUUGGAAAUUCUUGCAUAUUAUAGCUUUAAAUGUUUUGAGUAAAUGGUUUAAAUACCAUUUGAAGAUAAAUUAUGAUUAGGACUACUCAUCCUUCAGCAUUAUCAUGAGGCCAAUAUUACAAGGAAAUAAUGCCAGCAAGACAAUAUUACCUU
This is a long non-coding RNA of Sebastes umbrosus (honeycomb rockfish), 767 nucleotides long. RefSeq lists it as uncharacterized. The transcript has 2 exons. The record is from RefSeq and is a predicted model, not a curated record. Lineage: Eukaryota; Metazoa; Chordata; Actinopteri; Perciformes; Sebastidae.